This 75-nucleotide small RNA is filed under the name Xanthomonas arboricola. RNAcentral's name for it is "sRNA sX9". It matches the Rfam family "Xanthomonas sRNA sX9". Lineage: Bacteria; Pseudomonadati; Pseudomonadota; Gammaproteobacteria; Lysobacterales; Lysobacteraceae. The record is from RNAcentral.
AUGGACCACGCGUACACGGCGGUCCUGUGCGCCGUGCGCACGUGGCUGGCGACGGCUGGCUGGGUUGUGUCGGGC